GUGGAUCAGGUGUUUAUGCAUUCAUCCAGUCAUUAGUUGUGGGUUGUCCCUGGAAGAGAAGAUAACCUUGGAUGAAGCUGAUGUGAUUUCCGAAAGGAGAAGCCUGAAGGAAGGUUGUGCAGUAGCAGCUCUCUCAGCAGGAUCUUAGUUCCCAACCAGGGACUGAACCUGGGGCCCCAGCAGUGAACAUGCUGAGUCUUAACCACUGGACUACCAGGGAAUUCCUAGGUGAAAAAGUCAUACAAGUUCUAUGUGGCUGAACUCGGAGUGGAAAGCAAGAUGUGUGAGUCCAAGUUUCAACUUUCCCUAGUUCCAGUUCCUUCAUUUCCUGAGUUUCUCAGCAUCCUGGUCACUCUCUGGAUUAGUACUUCC
This is a long non-coding RNA of Bos taurus (domestic cattle), 372 nucleotides long. The record is from Ensembl. Lineage: Eukaryota; Metazoa; Chordata; Mammalia; Artiodactyla; Bovidae.